Small nuclear RNA from Cercocebus atys (sooty mangabey), 107 nucleotides. The record is from Ensembl. Lineage: Eukaryota; Metazoa; Chordata; Mammalia; Primates; Cercopithecidae.
GCACUCACUUUGGCAGCACAUAUACUAAAAUGGGAACUAUACAGAGAAGAUCAGCAUGGCCUCUUCACCAGGAUGGCACACCAAUUCAUUAAGAGAGCUUUCUUUUU